Molecule: ribosomal RNA, 502 nt
Filed under: uncultured bacterium
Lineage: Bacteria
Description: bacterial SSU rRNA
Rfam family: Bacterial small subunit ribosomal RNA
Source: RNAcentral
GAUGAACGCUAGCGGCGGGCCUAAUACAUGCAAGUCGAACGGUAAGUAUUUUAGCAAUAGAAUACGAGAGUGACGUACGGGUGCGUAACACGUAUGCAACCUACCCUUUACAGGAGGAUAGCUCGGGGAAACUCGAAUUAACUCUCCAUGAGAUCACAGUGUGGCAUCACACAGUGAUUAAAACUCCGGUGGUAAAGGAUGGGCAUGCGUCUGAUUAGUUAGUUGGCGGGGUAACGGCCCACCAAGACGAUGAUCAGUAGGGGAACUGAGAGGUUGAUCCCCCACACUGGCACUGAGAUACGGGCCAGACUCCUACGGGAGGCAGCAGUAGGGAAUAUUGGUCAAUGGAUGGAAGUCUGAACCAGCCAUGCCGCGUGCAGGAAGAAGGCCUUCUGGGUUGUAAACUGCUUUUGCCAGGGGAUAAAAAGACCAUGCGUGGUUAAUUGAAGGUACCUGGUGAAUAAGCCACGGCUAACUACGUGCCAGCAGCCGCGGUAAUACG